GUAAGACUUGAAAAAAUACAUACACAAUAUAAUCUUUCAAACAUAGGCACUAAGGUGCUACCAUUUCUGAAGUUUAAAAGUUGCAAGGACAUUUUGAACAUUGAUGGAGGUAAUAAAUUUUCAAUCUUAUCGGUUCCCUAUAUUGGAAACUUUACUAACAAGUGAAAUUUUUCUUUGCAAAUCUUUUUAACACCAAGAUGGAGAUUUGUUGGGCAAAUGUUGUCAAACAGCCUUUUGGACUAUGAGGUAACUCAGUAUGUUUUUGUAGCCGACAUUGACCAAAUGGUUUAAUGAAAAGCCAACACCUCAAUAAAGACGACUCAACUCCAAAAUCAAUUGGACCGUUGGAAACAGCCUAAUUUAUUUAGUGCUGCUCAUGACCCAAACCUUUUCUUCUUGGACAGCUUGUAUGAGUUGGUCCACUUAAUGAUACCGAACCCACUUACCUUUUCUGUUGGGCUUGGGUCCAAUAUGUUGACCAAAUAAGUGCGUCCCCCUUUUUUAAUUGGUGUUCACGUGUGUGCGCUGCCCAUCUCUUUUCUUCUUUGCGUGACCGUCUGCCUUCAUGGUUUUUUACAUUUUCUCCUAUGUCUUUCUCUUUUCACCUUUAUGGCUGGAUUUAUGACUCUGCUCACACCUUUGUUUGUAUCCUUUGUGGACAAAUCAUAGCAAUCAGAGAGAAGUAUUGUUUGGAGGAGUUUUGGUUUGGGUGUGUUUGUUGAGGUUGUCGAUUGGAGGUUAAAACUAAGCCCGGAGCAACUUUUGGUGACAAAUCUUCUGCUACAAAAGCCAACGAGACCAAUAAGCAAUCGUAAGCCCACCUCCGUUGCUUACAGAUUGAUGUGAGCAUAAAUCACAAUUUUGGAUGCAAACUACAUUGUCAAAUUACAGUAGGCAGGAACCAUCAAGAACAAAUAAAAAUCAAUAAUUUUCAUUCUAGGAACCAGAAAAAGCCAAUUAUUGCACUAAACUUCAAGAAAAGAGUAUGAAACCUUUUGUUACAGCCAUUCAAAUUGAAUAAGAAUACCAUUCAAAUGAGACGAUAAAUGUCUUCGCCGCUAUUAGGGAUUACAAAAAUGCCAUCCGCAAAAUUACAGCAUGGAAAUCGAUUACUUGGCGAAAUUUAUGAAACAAAAAUUAGAUUUGGAUAUGAAAGAAAGCUAAGAAUGUGAUAAAAUGGGGAAAUCGAUUCAAGAUGAUUACAGAAUUGCGAUUUUUCUUCAUAUAGGAAGACUAUAAUUUGGAGAUUUCCUUUUGGCAAGAUAAUCGAGUGCGCAGUGCAGUGCCGUGUUU
Molecule: long non-coding RNA, 1293 nt
Filed under: Olea europaea subsp. europaea
Lineage: Eukaryota; Viridiplantae; Streptophyta; Magnoliopsida; Lamiales; Oleaceae
Source: RNAcentral